AGAGCGUAGAGUGAAUGCCUUGGCAUUGGGAGCCGACGAAGGACGUGGUUAACUGCGAAAAGCUACGGGGAGUCGUAAGCAGACAUUGAUCCGUAGAUGUCCGAAUGGAGCAAUCCGCAUGGAGAUAGUCCAUGCAUCCAUAAGUGAAUUCAUAGCUUAUGGAGGGGAACCGCCUGAACUGAAACAUCUAAGUAGGGCGAGGAAGAGAAAUCAAACGAGAUUUCGUAAGUAGUGGCGAGCGAACGCGAAAGAGGCUAAACCAAGAGAAGAAAUUCUUUUGGGGUUACGGACUGCGAUAUGUAUCUGAGGACUUAGCAGAAUGGUAUGGGAAAGCCAACCAGAGAAUGUGAUAGUCAUGUAUGCGAAAAGGAAUCAGAGCUAGCAGGAUCCAAAGUACCGCGGGACACGAGGAAUCCCGUGGGAAGUCGGGGGGACCACCCUCCAAGCCUAAAUACUACCCAAUGACCGAUAGCGAAAAGUACUGUGAAGGAACGGUGAAAAGAACCCCGGGAGGGGAGUGAAAAGAACCUGAAACUUUAUGCUUACAAGCACAUAGAGCACGUCAAAGUGUGAUAUGGUACCUUUUGUAGAAUGGUCCGGCGAGUUAUUGUAUGCAGCAAGGUUAAGGUCUUCAGGACUGAAGCCGAAGCGAGAGCGAGUCUGACAAGGGCGGUAAGUUGCAUGCAAUAGACCCGAAACCGGGUGACCUAGCCAUGUUCAGGUUGAAGUGGAGGUAAAGCUCCAUGGAGGACCGAACCGACCUCCGUUGAAAAGGCGGCGGAUGAAAUGUGGCUAGCGGAGAAAUUCCAAUCGAACCCGGAAAUAGCUGGUUCUCCCCGAAAUAGCUUUAGGGCUAGCGUUGUAUUAGAUUUCUGGGGGUAAAGCACUGAAUAGGCUAGGGGCCGAGAGGUUACUGAACCUUAUCAAACUAAGAAUACCAGAAAAUUGAUGUACAGCAGUCAGACUAUGUGAGAUAAGUCUCAUAGUCAAAAGGGAAACAGCCCAGACCCACAGCUAAGGUCCCAAAACAGAUUUAAGUGGAAAAGGAUGUGGGAUUGCCCAGACAACCAGGAUGUUGGCUUAGAAGCAGCCACACAUUAAAAGAGUGCGUAAUAGCUCACUGGUCGAGUGAUCCUGCGCCGAAAAUUCAACGGGGCUAAAAUUUGUACCGAAGCUUGGGCUUGAUACUUUGUAUCAGGGGUAGGGGAGCGUCAUGUAUGAGGAGAAGUCAUAGCGGAAGCGGUGGUGGAUUGUACAUGAGAGAGAAUGCCGGAAUGAGUAGCGAGAAUUAUGUGAGAAUCAUAAUGGCCGAAAAUCUAAGGUUUCCUGAGGAAGGUUCGUCCGCUCAGGGUAAGCCGGGAGCUAAGGUGAGGCGGAAACGCGUAGCCGAUGCACAUACGGUAGAGAUUCCGUAGCCUCCGAAAAGUAAAGCACAGGGACGCUUCAGAAGUGUUACGCCGGGCGAUGGUUGCCCCGGUUGUAAAGGACACAAUUGAGUGGAAGGUAACAUGGAUGGAGACAAGAAAAGCUGUGUGUAUCUGGAAGGAGCCCGUACCGCAAACCGACACAGGUAGAUAGGAAGAAGAUUCUAAGGCCAGCGGGAGAAGGGUUGUUAAGGAACUCGGCAAGUUGACCCCGUAACUUCGGGAGAAGGGGUGCUUACGAAGGUAAGCCGCAGAGAAUAGGCCCAAGCGACUGUUUAGCAAAAACACAGCUCUAUGCUAAAUCGAAAGAUGACGUAUAUGGGGUGACACCUGCCCGGUGCUGGAAGGUUAAGAGGAGAUGUGAGAGCAUUGAAUUGAAGCCCCAGUAAACGGCGGCCGUAACUAUAACGGUCCUAAGGUAGCGAAAUUCCUUGUCAGGUAAGUUCUGACCCGCACGAAUGGCGUAACGAUCUGGGCACUGUCUCAACAGCCCGCCCGGCGAAAUUGUAGUACCGGUGAAGAUGCCGGUUACCCGCGACUAGACGGAAAGACCCCAUGGAGCUUCACUGUAGCUUAAUAUUGAAUUUUGGUAUUUCAUGUACAGGAUAGGUGGGAGACUGGGAAAUACAGGCGUCAGCUUGUAUGGAGUCACUGUUGGGAUACCACUCUUGAGGUGCUGAAAUUCUAACCUGCGUCUUUGAAUCAAGACGGGGGACAUUGUUAGGUGGGCAGUUUGACUGGGGCGGUCGCCUCCAAAAGAGUAACGGAGGCGCUCAAAGGUUCGCUCAGCAUGGACGGAAACCAUGCCAAAGAGUGCAAACGCAAAAGCGAGCCUAACUGCGAGACUGACGGGUCGAGCAGUAACGAAAGUUGGAGUUAGUGAUCCGGCGGUAUGUGAGUGGAAAUGCCGUCGCUCAACGGAUAAAAGCUACCCUGGGGAUAACAGGCUGAUCUCCCCCAAGAGUCCACAUCGACGGGGAGGUUUGGCACCUCGAUGUCGGCUCAUCGCAUCCUGGGGCUGAAUUCGGUCCCAAGGGUUUGGCUGUUCGCCAAUUAAAGCGGUACGCGAGCUGGGUUCAGAACGUCGUGAGACAGUUCGGUCCCUAUCUGUCGUGGGCGUAGGAUAUUUGAAAGGAGCUGUCCCUAGUACGAGAGGACCGGGAUGGACGCACCUCUGGUGCACCAGUUGUCACGCCAGUGGCACAGCUGGGCAGCUAAGUGCGGAACGGAUAAACGCUGAAAGCAUCUAAGCGUGAAGCCGACCUUAAGAUAAGAUAUCCGUUCUUCGGAAUAAGACCCCUUGUAGACUACGAGGUUGAUAGGCUUAAAGUGUAAGCAUGGUGACAUGUUUAGCUUGCAAGUACUAAUCGGUCGAUUGCUUUUCCU
Molecule: ribosomal RNA, 2810 nt
Filed under: human gut metagenome
Description: bacterial LSU rRNA
Rfam family: Bacterial large subunit ribosomal RNA
Source: RNAcentral